GUUUCUAUAGUUGAAUAACAACAGUGGUUUUUCGUAUCACAGGUUUAGGUUAAAGUCCUAAUAGGAACC
Molecule: transfer RNA, 69 nt
Filed under: Pelodytes cf. punctatus II-2011
Lineage: Eukaryota; Metazoa; Chordata; Amphibia; Anura; Pelodytidae
Description: tRNA-Glu
Rfam family: tRNA
About the family: Transfer RNA (tRNA) molecules are approximately 80 nucleotides in length. Their secondary structure includes four short double-helical elements and three loops (D, anti-codon, and T loops).
Source: RNAcentral